UGACCCGCACAGAGACGGUGACCAGCUGGAGGCUGAAGAUUGCUCAUGGAGGUAGGAGAACCCAGGCACUAGUUUUCUUCACGUUCAAAUUUCCUUAAAGCUGGUAGCCCUGGGCCGGUCCCACCAGCACUGGGGCUUUCAAUUGGUGUGAACAGGAACCGUGCUUGGCAUCUUCCUUUCUCUGUUCCUUAGCAGCAGAUGGAAAGCAGGCUGAGAACAAGACACAGGAGCUGUGGUGGGCUCUUCCAAGCUGACUCCAAGGGGAACCAAGAAAGGGGCCAACCCGUGUUUUAACUUACCCCCAUGCAGACCCCUUGAAAUCAGUAGGUUUUCCUAGGUAACUAUUUGGAGGGUCAAAGUAUGACAUCAGGUGCAGCUGCCCCUGAUUUCAUGGAUGUGUGUAUCCAUGAGCAGAGUUUAACCUGCUGACCCUACACACGGCAGAGGAGAAUAUUGCAAUUACAGUCUCUCUUCUCAGUCCAAACACCGCCUUGCUUCCCGUCUGCUUAUACAGGGACGCCUGUGCAGAAUGCACUUCGCUUCCAAUCAGGGCGAUGGAGGUGUUACUCUGCACACAUGCCUCUGAACUGCGGAGGCACAACCCCAGCAGGUUAGCCAAUUUGGAUGGUUUUUCCCUAGGCUGGGAGGCAGAGUGUUUUCCCCCUUUGAAUGAAUAUGGGAUGCACCUGUAUACCUGCAAUCAUGCAGGAUGCGUGUCUGACUUUGGGGUCUGCCUAGGGCUGGGUGUUUUAAGGAUGCAUGUGCAUGUGAUAUGUCUGGUGUGCAGGUCUGUGAUGUCUGUGCAUUUCCCCGUACUCCUCGGAGUCAAUGCCAUCUCCCCAUAGGGUCUGUCACCAUUAGCAACAGUCUGGUAGAUCUGGUUAUGCCCUGCCUGCAUUCUGGGUCUUUCCCCAGUUUUACUUCGGGUUAGUCAGUCAAGUUCAGUCCUAUUUUACACUAGGCAGAAAGAAGGAGCUCAGCCUCUCGGCUUGAGGCUGGCUGAUCUAUGCAAGCCUCUGCAUCAGCUCUGCAGAGAUGGCUCUGGCGACUCCAGCGUGGGCAGGAUCCGUCCCGGGGUGUUUGACUACAUUAGUGGUGGCGUGUGUGUGAGGAAAGAGGCCUGUGCUGCUAUUGGUGGUAAAUCUCUGUCUAUGUGGAUAUUAGCAAUGUGUUUCUCCAGCUGCGUCAGUGUAUGUGUUUGUGUAUACAGACUCAAUUUAUGUCGUUUUGCAAGCAGCUCAGUGUUUGUGCCAGACUCUGUGUGAUUUUGUGAAAGGCCAUGCUUGCAUGUUUGGAUUGAUUUAAUAAGAGGGUGCAUGUGUGUGUUUAUAUUUAGAGAGCUCCAGGGAGAAGCUCACGCAUACGGGGACUGGGGCUCGGGCUGCGCGAUUGGAUGACAUUUCUGUGUGAUUUCUGAGCCCGGCACCACUGCAGCUGCAUGGGUGCUCCUUUGACAGGGAGCGUGUCAGAGUGAUCUCGCGUGUGGGUGUGGGAGUCUGGGGGCGAGUGUUUGUGUGCGCAGGGAAGUUGCAUGCUUUCCCUGUGCAUGGUGAUGCUUCUUAGAUUUCAUAGGAGGGGGAUUUUCUAGCUCACCUGCAUGUUUUCACCAUCACUAGAUGUGCUUAGGAGCUUGGGGGUAAUCGUUUGUGCGGCCUGUUUGCUUUUGAGUGACAUCACUGCAGGACAUAUAUAUGGGAUUUCCUAUGGGGAGUAUUACAGGAGGUCUCCCGCAUGCCCUCCGACACUGUACGUGCCACCGGCACAUGUACAUCUAAACACAUGAGCCUGUUCAUAGCACACGUAUGACCCCCCCACUCCAAUUUGUGCAUACGGUUUGAAACACCAGGGUCUUAGACUCCCAUCAGCUACCUGGCUUUAAAUUAGGAGACAGCUCAUAGAAUUCAGUGAAGAUCCAUCUGCAAGAAGACUAGGGUGAAAUCCAAGCCAAAAACUUACAGAUGUUUAAGAUGCAUUUUUGCACUUAAGAUAUUCGUUGUGAGGAUUUGCAUCUUUUGUUAACAUUCAGUACUUCUCUAUUUAAUAUGCUCCUCCAUUGAAAGAUCACGCAUAUCACAGUUAAAGUGAUUUAAUGUAUUCAGAGAGACUGUUACCAUGAUCAAAAAGGACACAUGGACCCUUCUGGCAUAUUUUGGACAAGGGUGCUGCGGGGGUGGGCUUGGAAGGGGUGCGAGGCUGUAGACAUGUUGCAGGGUGGUUGUGGGAGCGUGCAGGGGUUUUCUGUGGGAUUUGAGGGGAGGCUGCUGUCCCUGUGCUCUCUCUUCUCCUAAGGGAGAGAAGGGGUGGGCAUGCACAUGCAUGCAUUUGAGGGGUGGGCUGCUGCCUUUUUUCUUUGUGCUGUUCCAGGAAGGUGUGAUGUGUGUGUGGCUGGUUGGGUGCUGCACAGAGACUCAGGACGGCUCUCCAUGGCUGGAAGGGGCUGAGGUGCUGCUUUGCAGCAUGCCAUCUGCAACUUCAGGGCAGUGCAUCUCCAAUGCCGCUCGCAUUGGUUACCAAGGGCUUUGAUCCAGGCGCGCUGGCCGUGCGCGCGGCUCACCCAGCCCUUGUCGCUCCGGAGAGAGGAGCCCGCACCCUUGGAGAAACAUGACUCCUGCUGCUUGGGGCCCUCCUCAUUGCCAGUCGUUUAGCCGCGCUCAUGGGCAGUGAGCGGGAUCAAUAAGCCACCUCCGACUCUUCUAUUUACAAACUCGCUGCCUUCAGCAACCAGGCUGUUUAAGCACUCCAUUCCCAUUCAGGAGGGCCAUCUGCUGCCUUUUGCUGUAAGUCUCUCUGAAAACCCCAGCCUUGACAAGCUAGAGAUAUGUCAGUGCAGUUAUCAGCAGAAAGCAACAUCUGCCAUGCCUGACACCCACUAUUGUAGGCCAUUUAAUCUGUCCCCCUCCUCCCUUUAACUGCAGACAACAGCUCCCUAUAUUAUAUUUUCCCACUCAAUUAGCACUAUCAUCCUGCUGAAAUAGAGGCCAAUUUACCUUUAAUGACAUCAUUGUUAGGAGAGUGGCAGCGCCUGGUCCGUGGCUGUCACUGGAUUGCAGGAGGCAGGCUUGUUUCUCUCCACUAACCCUGACAGAGGAAGGGAAGACCCAGCAGCCUAUCGGAGGCAGCCUUCACCCCCGACCACAGACAUUGUUUCCGACAGUUCGCAGAAGCAGUGUGGCGGAAAAUUGAGUCCAGAUUCAUUAGGUUUUUCAGUGUGCUGCUCAAGUCAGUUAAAUUGAUACAUUUCCUAACAAAAUUGAAGUGCUUUGUGCUGCCAGCGGAAAGCCUGGUGACCCUGCUCGGCCCAGUGAGCCGCCAAAACGAGUUGAUGGAUCCAUUAGGCCGCUCAGAAUGCUUUUCCCCCUCUCCCUCCAUUCCUGAGUGACACUGUAAAUCUGAGCCAAUUUCAGUCCCUAAUCAUCAUUACAAACCCCUCCACUGUUCAUUUAUUACUCUACAAUUCUAAUACAGCACACGAAUGGGUCAGCACACAGGGAGCCAACACAACUGCGUCGACAGGCUUAAAGAGCCCAUAAUCCUUCCCGGGCUUUAUCUGAGAAGCAAACCUGAUUUCCCUUUGCCACCCCCUCGCAGCCUGCUCCGGACUGGAGAUCAGAUGAUGGCUGCCUGGCCGGGAGUUCAGGAAGGCAGGCUGUGGCGCUGAUAGGAACUGGAGGGUGGGCUGGAUGGCCGAGGGAGCAGAAACAUCUGCUAGGUGCAGAAAGCCAAGGGAGAGCCGGGGUGAGGGUUGCAGCAGGGGCAGCCCCGCUCUCGGAAUCACGGCGGCCACACGAUCCCUGUACAGUCUGCUUGGCACAGGGCUGGGAGCAGGGGGACCAGCAGGAGGGCUACCUGGCACAGGGACCGUCACAAAGGCUAUUUGGCAGGAUUGCUGGAUUGACAGCUGCCUGGCGUGAGUGAAGUUUGCACGGCAGACUCGUGGCACGGUGAUGGCUCGACGGUUGUGUGAAAUGGCGACCAUGUGUCAGGUAUCUGGUAGAGUGAUUAGAGUUCAGAGCGUGUCUGGUGUGCCUGCCUGGCACGGAAAGACGGCGCAUGCUAUUGCAAAGGUCUUGCUUGCUGUGGCCUGGUGACUAGAGAGGCUUUUUGUGCUGCCAUAACCAAUGGCUUCUCCAGAUUCUCCCUUAGCUUGAGGAGGAAAGUUUUGCUUUUUUGGAUCCAUGGGUUUCUGAUUCAACACCUUGCAACAGUGGUUCCUUCAGAUCAGUGCCCCAGCUGAGGCUUGUGGUGAGUAUGACUUAGCCCUUCUCCCCAAGCCAAGAACGGGACUCUCAGUGUUGGGAUUACCCAUGUCCAGCCUCCCUCAUGAUGAAUAAAACAAAACUGAGGCUUCCCUAGCCUGGGCAUCUGGCUUCCAGCAUGGAAAAUGGGGGAUUAUUAAGUACUUGACCAGCAAAGUGUAUUUGUACGCUAGGACCAAGCACCUUUCCUUAAAGCCACCCACGAAUGUAUUUAUUUCGUCAGAUGUGACUGCUUUUUACUAUGUGCCUAUCAACAUCUCUCUAGGUGCAGAAGCAAUCAAGGACUUUAGAACACACACAGUAAAUAAUCAGAUUAAUGGCAUGAUCAGACAUGACUCACUGGGUCUGGAAUUGCUUCCAAGGAAGUCUGCGGGAGUUUUGCCAUUGGCUUCAGAGAAAGCAGGAUCGGGCUUGCAGGGUUGGAUUUGGCACAGAAACUGGCACAGGCUGCCUCAUAGGUCUUGAGUUCAGCUCCUGUCAAGGCCAGUUUUGCUGCAGUGUCUGGCAGGGAGAGGUGACAGCUGUGUGACAUUUUUCAAGAGGAACUGAGCAACCUCUGUCAGACCUGAAUGAUGAGAAAAAGCUUAAGAGUCCUUUAAUUUUUAAUAAAAACUUCUCCAAGUUUU
Molecule: long non-coding RNA, 4882 nt
Organism: Alligator mississippiensis (American alligator)
Lineage: Eukaryota; Metazoa; Chordata; Crocodylia; Alligatoridae
Exons: 2
Source: RefSeq, a predicted model, not a curated record